GAUGAAGAACGCAGCGAAAUGUGAUAAGUAAUGUGAAUUGCAGAAUUCAGUGAAUCAUCGAAUCUUUGAACGCACAUUGCGCCCCCUGGUAUUCCGGGGGGCAUGCCUGUUCGAGCGUCAUUUCACCACUCAAGCCUCGCUUGGUAUUGGGCAACGCGGUCCGCCGCGUGCCUCAAAUCGACCGGCUGGGUCUUCUGUCCCCUAAGCGUUGUGGAAACUUUCGCUAAAGGGUGUUCGGGAGGCUACGCCGUAAAACAACCCCAUUUCUAAGGUUGACCUCGGAUCAGGAAGGGAUACCCGCUGAACUUAAGCAUAUCAAUAAGCGGAGGA
This 330-nucleotide unclassified non-coding RNA is filed under the name soil metagenome. RNAcentral describes it as "partial contains 5.8S ribosomal RNA, internal transcribed spacer 2, and large subunit ribosomal RNA". The stretch from base 1 to 120 matches the Rfam family "5.8S ribosomal RNA", at positions 35 to 154 of the family's 154-position model. The record is from RNAcentral.